This 65-nucleotide transfer RNA is filed under the name Megymenum gracilicorne. Its description in RNAcentral is "tRNA-Pro". Lineage: Eukaryota; Metazoa; Arthropoda; Insecta; Hemiptera; Dinidoridae. The record is from RNAcentral. RNAcentral also lists the same sequence under 1 other name.
CAGUAAGUAGUUUAAUUUAAAAAUGUUAAUUUUGGAGAUUAAUGAUAAGCUUAGCUUUUUACUGA